Long non-coding RNA from Artibeus jamaicensis (Jamaican fruit-eating bat), 1003 nucleotides. RefSeq lists it as uncharacterized. The record is from RefSeq and is a predicted model, not a curated record. Lineage: Eukaryota; Metazoa; Chordata; Mammalia; Chiroptera; Phyllostomidae. The transcript has 4 exons.
CAGGUCUGUGUGGGGUGAGGAGCCGCUUCUUGCUGAGUGUGGUGCAGAGCUUGGGUGUGCUGGGUCUUGGUGCCUCAGGAAGGGUGGAGGACCCAGGGGGAGCACCUGGUAAGGUGCAAGCCCUUGGGGCCAUACUCUCUGCCACCCCUCUGUCCUGGUUUCCCAGUGGUUGCCGGCCAGGCCACCGGACUGAAAGCUUUGUGGCUUCCUCCAAGGACUCACCUGUCAAGGGGAAUUAGUCAGAGAGGAGAGAGAAAUAAAGACUCGAUUUGAAUUCAAGUGUGCGCAGCCGGCGCCCAGGGCACAGUGCACAGGGCAUUUCCUCACACGACCCCGGCUGCCCCCUGUGGGCCAGAACCACCUCCGAGGGCCACUCAUGGGCUGCUGGGCAGAAGGCUGGCCGGCGGAUUCAGUCUCGGCCCAGUUCUGGGUCUGCCCUGUGGAGAGCUUACGGCUGAGCCGGGGAGAUAAGAUGGAAAUGUUUUGCCGAUGUGGAAGAAGCAAAACAAAACAAUGACAGAUGCCCUAAAAGGCAUCAACAUCGACAAGUUCGAAAACUGUUCUGAGCCGUGGGAAAAACGUCUCGACGGGUGUAUUGUAUCGAAUGGAAAGGACUUGGAAGGUGACUGAAGCUUAAACGGGCUUCCGCUGCUGGUUCCGUCAGCUCUCCUACAAGUUUCGGAGUGGACGUGGGCGUGUGCAACCACAGCACUGGACAGAGCUUGGGGCUCGGAGUGGAGAGGACCUGUGGGAACUCGGAGGGCGCUGCCCGGGCGCUGGCGGGGACUGGGACGCCCUUCUGCACCUGGGGCUGGAUCUUCAGCCCCACGCCGGUGAUUUGCAGGCCUGUCUUGGCUUGUGGAGGAACUAGAGCAGGUGGGUUUCCCAGCCGUCUUUUCCUUGGGAACCAGGACGGGAAUGCAGCCUCGGGACCUGAGAAGGAACGGAGGGCCAGGACCGCCAGGCCUCGGCCCACGCGGUGAACACCUGGUGCCAGACAGUG